GAUGAACGCUGGCGGCGUGCCUAAUACAUGCAAGUCGAGCGAACGGACGAGAAGCUUGCUUCUCUGAUGUUAGCGGCGGACGGGUGAGUAACACGUGGAUAACCUACCUAUAAGACUGGGAUAACUUCGGGAAACCGGAGCUAAUACCGGAUAAUAUUUUGAACCGCAUGGUUCAAAAGUGAAAGACGGUCUUGCUGUCACUUAUAGAUGGAUCCGCGCUGCAUUAGCUAGUUGGUAAGGUAACGGCUUACCAAGGCAACGAUGCAUAGCCGACCUGAGAGGGUGAUCGGCCACACUGGAACUGAGACACGGUCCAGACUCCUACGGGAGGCAGCAGUAGGGAAUCUUCCGCAAUGGGCGAAAGCCUGACGGAGCAACGCCGCGUGAGUGAUGAAGGUCUUCGGAUCGUAAAACUCUGUUAUUAGGGAAGAACAUAUGUGUAAGUAACUGUGCACAUCUUGACGGUACCUAAUCAGAAAGCCACGGCUAACUACGUGCCAGCAGCCGCGGUAAUACGUAGGUGGCAAGCGUUAUCCGGAAUUAUUGGGCGUAAAGCGCGCGUAGGCGGUUUUUUAAGUCUGAUGUGAAAGCCCACGGCUCAACCGUGGAGGGUCAUUGGAAACUGGAAAACUUGAGUGCAGAAGAGGAAAGUGGAAUUCCAUGUGUAGCGGUGAAAUGCGCAGAGAUAUGGAGGAGCACCAGUGGCGAAGGCGACUUUCUGGUCUGUAACUGACGCUGAUGUGCGAAAGCGUGGGGAUCAAACAGGAUUAGAUACCCUGGUAGUCCACGCCGUAAACGAUGAGUGCUAAGUGUUAGGGGGUUUCCGCCCCUUAGUGCUGCAGCUAACGCAUUAAGCACUCCGCCUGGGGAGUACGACCGCAAGGUUGAAACUCAAAGGAAUUGACGGGGACCCGCACAAGCGGUGGAGCAUGUGGUUUAAUUCGAAGCAACGCGAAGAACCUUACCAAAUCUUGACAUCCUUUGACAACUCUAGAGAUAGAGCUUUCCCCUUCGGGGGACAAAGUGACAGGUGGUGCAUGGUUGUCGUCAGCUCGUGUCGUGAGAUGUUGGGUUAAGUCCCGCAACGAGCGCAACCCUUAAGCUUAGUUGCCAUCAUUAAGUUGGGCACUCUAAGUUGACUGCCGGUGACAAACCGGAGGAAGGUGGGGAUGACGUCAAAUCAUCAUGCCCCUUAUGAUUUGGGCUACACACGUGCUACAAUGGACAAUACAAAGGGCAGCGAAACCGCGAGGUCAAGCAAAUCCCAUAAAGUUGUUCUCAGUUCGGAUUGUAGUCUGCAACUCGACUACAUGAAGCUGGAAUCGCUAGUAAUCGUAGAUCAGCAUGCUACGGUGAAUACGUUCCCGGGUCU
This 1372-nucleotide ribosomal RNA is filed under the name uncultured bacterium. RNAcentral's name for it is "bacterial SSU rRNA". It matches the Rfam family "Bacterial small subunit ribosomal RNA", at positions 28 to 1381 of the family's 1533-position model. The record is from RNAcentral.